GAUGAACGCUGGCGGCGUGCCUAAUACAUGCAAGUCGAGCGAACGGACGAGAAGCUUGCUUCUCUGAUGUUAGCGACGGACGGGUGAGUAACACGUGGAUAACCUACCUAUAAGACUGGGAUAACUUCGGGAAACCGGAGCUAAUACCGGAUGAUAUUUUGAACCGCAUGGUUCAAAAGUGAAAGACGGUCUUGCUGUCACUUAUAGAUGGAUCCGCGCUGCAUUAGCUAGUUGGUAAGGUAACGGCUUAGCAAGGCAACGAUGCAUAGCCGACCUGAGAGGGUGAUCGGCCACACUGGAACUGAGACACGGUCCAGACUCCUACGGGAGGCAGCAGUAGGGAAUCUUCCGCAAUGGGCGAAAGCCUGACGGAGCAACGCCGCGUGAGUGAUGAAGGUCUUCGGAUCGUAAAACUCUGUUAUUAGGGAAGAACAUAUGUGUAAGUAACUGUGCACAUCUUGACGGUACCUAAUCAGAAAGCCACGGCUAACUACGUG
Molecule: ribosomal RNA, 497 nt
Filed under: uncultured bacterium
Lineage: Bacteria
Description: partial 16S ribosomal RNA
Rfam family: Bacterial small subunit ribosomal RNA
Source: RNAcentral